GGGCGCAAGCCUGAUCCAGCCAUGCCGCGUGAGUGAAGAAGGCCUUCGGGUUGUAAAGCUCUUUCAGGUGGAAAGAAAACGCAUGGGUCAAUACCCUGUGUGGAUGACGGUACCAUCAGAAGAAGCACCGGCUAACUACGUGCCAGCAGCCGCGGUAAUACGUAGGGUGCGAGCGUUAAUCGGAAUUACUGGGCGUAAAGCGUGCGCAGGCGGUGAUGUAAGACAGAUGUGAAAUCCCCGGGCUCAACCUGGGAACUGCGUUUGUGACUGCAUCACUCGAGUACGGCAGAGGGAGGUGGAAUUCCGCGUGUAGCAGUGAAAUGCGUAGAUAUGCGGAGGAACACCGAUGGCGAAGGCAGCCUCCUGGGCCAGUACUGACGCUCAUGCACGAAAGCGUGGGGAGCAAACAGGAUUAGAUACCCUGGUAGUCCACGCCCUAAACGAUGUCAACUAGUUGUUCGGUGAGGAGACUCAUUGAGUAACGCAGCUAACGCGUGAAGUUGACCGCCUGGGGAGUACGGCCGCAAGGUUAAAACUCAAAGGAAUUGACGGGGACCCGCACAAGCGGUGGAUGAUGUGGAUUAAUUCGAUGCAACGCGAAAAACCUUACCUACCCUUGACAUGCCAGGAAGUUUCCAGAGAUGGAUUCGUGCCCGAAAGGGAACCUGGACACAGGUGCUGUAUGGCUGUCGUCAGCUCGUGUCGUGAGAUGUUGGGUUAAGUCCCGCAACGAGCGCAACCCUUGUCAUUAGUUGCCAGCAUCCAGUUGGGCACUCUAAUGAGACUGCCGGUGACAAACCGGAGGAAGGUGGGGAUGACGUCAGGUCCUCAUGGCCCUUAUGGGUAGGGCUUCACACGUCAUACAAUGGUCGGUACAGAGGGUUGCCAAGCCGCGAGGUGGAGCCAAUCCCAGAAAGCCGAUCGUAGUCCGGAUUGGAGUCUGCAACUCGACUCCAUGAAGUCGGAAUCGCUAGUAAUCCGCAAAUCAGCAUGCU
RNAcentral lists this ribosomal RNA (995 nucleotides) under uncultured bacterium. RNAcentral's name for it is "bacterial SSU rRNA". It matches the Rfam family "Bacterial small subunit ribosomal RNA", at positions 373 to 1358 of the family's 1533-position model. The record is from RNAcentral.